Molecule: unclassified non-coding RNA, 263 nt
Filed under: plant metagenome
Description: partial contains small subunit ribosomal RNA, internal transcribed spacer 1, and 5.8S ribosomal RNA
Source: RNAcentral
UUUCCGUAGGUGAACCUGCGGAAGGAUCAUUAUUGUAUAACCGAGGUGCGAGGGCUGUCGCUGACCCGAAAGGUCGUGCACGCCCGAGUGCCCUCACACACAUCCAUCUCACCCCUAUGUGCACAGCCGCGUGGGUCCCCCUUUGGCUUGUUCGGAGGGGGGCUUACGUUGUCACACAAACUUUGUAUGCAGUGUAGAAUGUAUUUUUUGUUUUUGCGAUCACGCAAUCAAUACAACUUUCAACAACGGAUCUCUUGGCUCUG